CCCCGAUGCAACCGGUCUCUCGGGACCGGUCUCUCACCCAGGGACCGGUUCCCGAGAGCUCGAUUUCCAGGACUUAGCCGAUUUUUCCCUCUGCUCGGCAGAUACGCUUUCGGGGACCGGUCUCUCCCUUCAGGGACCGAUCCCCGAGAGCCCAAAAUCUGGGACUUAGCCAGAUUUUGCAAUUUCACUCUCUCGGGUCCCUUUAACAUUUAUAUAGGUUCCAAUGCACUUUUAGCCUAUAGUAACUCAUUCCUUUCCGCGUUCCGCACAUUUCGAUGGAACUCGGCACGACUCAUGGGGAAUUGCUAUGUUACAACCGGUACCCAAUAUUGAGUUCUUCAAAACUUGAGAGCAACAAUUCUGCAAAUUGAAUUGUGAACCAGUACCAAAUUUUAGUACCGGUAUUACAUCGUUCGAGUAUUCAGCAUUAGAAAACUCUUGUUGUGUCAUGGUGGACCGGUACCCACAUCCGAGUACUGGCACUCAAAUUAUAGGUUUCUUAAUAUGACUCUAAUCCAACUCUAAAUGAUUCUAAAGUCUAUAAAUACAAUGUUAGGUGUCACGCACCGUAACCACCAAUUUGGUCUGUUCGGGUACGUCCACAGACGCCGAACGGACAGAACCUCCCCUGUCCGCGCAAGGCUCCACCCACACAUGUAUAGCAAUUCAUACAAUGAGAAUUCAAGUAUACAUGGCUUGCACGAGGGCAAACAAUAACCACAGCAAGUGAAAGUUCUAC
Molecule: long non-coding RNA, 739 nt
Filed under: Ananas comosus (pineapple)
Lineage: Eukaryota; Viridiplantae; Streptophyta; Magnoliopsida; Poales; Bromeliaceae
Description: long non-coding RNA (ACOM_LNC016921)
Source: RNAcentral